AUGCACGCUGGCGGCGUGCCUCAUACCUGCCAGUCGAGCGAACAGACGAGGAGCUUGCUCCUCUGACGUUAGCGGCGGACGGGUGAGUAACACGUGGAUAACCUACCUAUAAGACUGGGAUAACUUCGGGAAACCGGAGCUAAUACCGGAUAAUAUAUUGAACCGCAUGGUUCAAUAGUGAAAGACGGUUUUGCUGUCACUUAUAGAUGGAUCCGCGCCGCAUUAGCUAGUUGGUAAGGUAACGGCUUACCAAGGCAACGAUGCGUAGCCGACCUGAGAGGGUGAUCGGCCACACUGGUACUGAGACACGGUCCAGACUCCUACGGGAGGCAGCAGUAGGGACUCUUCCGCAAUGGGCGAAAGCCUGACGGAGCAACGCCGCGUGAGUGAUGAAGGUCUUCGGAUCGUAAAACUCUGUUAUUAGGGAAGAACAAAUGUGUAAGUAACUAUGCACGUCUUGACGGUACCUAAUCAGAAAGCCACGGCUAACUACGUG
Molecule: ribosomal RNA, 496 nt
Filed under: uncultured bacterium
Lineage: Bacteria
Description: partial 16S ribosomal RNA
Rfam family: Bacterial small subunit ribosomal RNA
Source: RNAcentral